AUACGUAGGGAGCGAGCGUUGUCCGGAAUUACUGGGUGUAAAGGGAGCGCAGGCGGAGAUGCAAGCGUGACGUCAAAUUUCGGGGCUCAACCCCGUCUCGCGUCGCGAACUGCGUCCCUUGGUUGCGGGAAGGGGAGGCGGAACUCGUGGUGUAGCGGUGAAAUGCAUAGAUAUCACGAAGAACUCCGAUCGCGAAGGCAGCCUUCCGGCCCGUCAACGACGCUCAUGCUCGAAGGUGCGGGUAUCAAACAGGAUUAGAUACCCUGGUAGUCCGCACAGUAAACGAUGGACACCCGCGGUUUGGCCUGUAUGGCUGAGCCGCCAAGCGAAAGCGUUAAGUGUCCCACCUGGGGAGUACGCCGGCAACGGUGAAACUUAAAGGAAUUGACGGGA
This 393-nucleotide ribosomal RNA is filed under the name uncultured bacterium. RNAcentral's name for it is "partial 16S ribosomal RNA". It matches the Rfam family "Bacterial small subunit ribosomal RNA", at positions 523 to 918 of the family's 1533-position model. The record is from RNAcentral.